AAAUUGAAGAGUUUGAUCAUGGCUCAGAUUGAACGCUGGCGGCAGGCCUAACACAUGCAAGUCGAACGGUAACAGRAAGMAGCUUGCUKCUUUGCUGACGAGUGGCGGACGGGUGAGUAAUGUCUGGGAAACUGCCUGAUGGAGGGGGAUAACUACUGGAAACGGUAGCUAAUACCGCAUAACGUCGCAAGACCAAAGAGGGGGACCUUCGGGCCUCUUGCCAUCGGAUGUGCCCAGAUGGGAUUAGCUUGUUGGUGGGGUAACGGCUCACCAAGGCGACGAUCCCUAGCUGGUCUGAGAGGAU
This 304-nucleotide ribosomal RNA is filed under the name Escherichia coli. RNAcentral describes it as "partial 16S ribosomal RNA". It matches the Rfam family "Bacterial small subunit ribosomal RNA", at positions 1 to 301 of the family's 1533-position model. Lineage: Bacteria; Pseudomonadati; Pseudomonadota; Gammaproteobacteria; Enterobacterales; Enterobacteriaceae. The record is from RNAcentral.